This 687-nucleotide ribosomal RNA is filed under the name uncultured Actinomycetes bacterium. RNAcentral describes it as "bacterial SSU rRNA". It matches the Rfam family "Bacterial small subunit ribosomal RNA", at positions 28 to 719 of the family's 1533-position model. The record is from RNAcentral. Lineage: Bacteria; Bacillati; Actinomycetota; Actinomycetes.
GACGAACGCUGGCGGCGUGCUUAACACAUGCAAGUCGAGCGGAAAGGCCCUUUGGGGUACUCGAGCGGCGGACGGGUGAGUAACACGUGAGUAACCUGCCCUGGACUUUGGGAUAACCCUCGGAAACGGGGGCUAAUACUGGAUAUGACUGCUUCUCGCAUGGGGGGUGGUGGAAAGUUUUUCGGUCUGGGAUGGGCUCGCGGCCUAUCAGCUUGUUGGUGGGGUGAUGGCCUACCAAGGCGACGACGGGUAGCCGGCCUGAGAGGGCGACCGGCCACACUGGGACUGAGACACGGCCCAGACUCCUACGGGAGGCAGCAGUGGGGAAUAUUGCACAAUGGGCGGAAGCCUGAUGCAGCGACGCCGCGUGAGGGAUGACGGCCUUCGGGUUGUAAACCUCUUUCAGCAGGGACGAAGCGGCUGGGUUUUCCCGGUCGUGACGGUACCUGCAGAAGAAGCGCCGGCCAACUACGUGCCAGCAGCCGCGGUAAGACGUAGGGCGCGAGCGUUGUCCGGAUUUAUUGGGCGUAAAGAGCUCGUAGGCGGCUUGUCGCGUCGACCGUGAAAACUUGGGGCUCAACUCCAAGCUUGCGGUCGAUACGGGCAGGCUGGAGUUCGGUAGGGGAGACUGGAAUUCCUGGUGUAGCGGUGAAAUGCGCAGAUAUCAGGAGGAACACCGGUGGCGAA